This 445-nucleotide ribosomal RNA is filed under the name Vibrio parahaemolyticus. Its description in RNAcentral is "bacterial SSU rRNA". It matches the Rfam family "Bacterial small subunit ribosomal RNA", at positions 468 to 912 of the family's 1533-position model. Lineage: Bacteria; Pseudomonadati; Pseudomonadota; Gammaproteobacteria; Vibrionales; Vibrionaceae. The record is from RNAcentral.
UUUGACGUUAGCGACAGAAGAAGCACCGGCUAACUCCGUGCCAGCAGCCGCGGUAAUACGGAGGGUGCGAGCGUUAAUCGGAAUUACUGGGCGUAAAGCGCAUGCAGGUGGUUUGUUAAGUCAGAUGUGAAAGCCCGGGGCUCAACCUCGGAAUUGCAUUUGAAACUGGCAGACUAGAGUACUGUAGAGGGGGGUAGAAUUUCAGGUGUAGCGGUGAAAUGCGUAGAGAUCUGAAGGAAUACCGGUGGCGAAGGCGGCCCCCUGGACAGAUACUGACACUCAGAUGCGAAAGCGUGGGGAGCAAACAGGAUUAGAUACCCUGGUAGUCCACGCCGUAAACGAUGUCUACUUGGAGGUUGUGGCCUUGAGCCGUGGCUUUCGGAGCUAACGCGUUAAGUAGACCGCCUGGGGAGUACGGUCGCAAGAUUAAAACUCAAAUGAAUUG